Molecule: ribosomal RNA, 505 nt
Filed under: uncultured bacterium
Lineage: Bacteria
Description: partial 16S ribosomal RNA
Rfam family: Bacterial small subunit ribosomal RNA
Source: RNAcentral
GACGAACGCUGGCGGCGUGCCUAAUACAUGCAAGUAGAACGCACAGUUUAUACCGUAGCUUGCUACACCAUAGACUGUGAGUUGCGAACGGGUGAGUAACGCGUAGGUAACCUGCCUGGUAGCGGGGGAUAACUAUUGGAAACGAUAGCUAAUACCGCAUAAUAUUAAUUAUUGCAUGAUAAUUAAUUGAAAGGUGCAAUUGCACCACUACCAGAUGGACCUGCGUUGUAUUAGCUAGUAGGUGAGGUAACGGCUCACCUAGGCGACGAUACAUAGCCGACCUGAGAGGGUGAUCGGCCACACUGGGACUGAGACACGGCCCAGACUCCUACGGGAGGCAGCAGUAGGGAAUCUUCGGCAAUGGACGAAAGUCUGACCGAGCAACGCCGCGUGAGUGAAGAAGGUUCUCGGAUCGUAAAGCUCUGUUGUAAGAGAAGAAAGGGUGUGAGAGUGGAAAGUUCACACUGUGACGGUAUCUUACCAGAAAGGGACGGCUAACUACGUG